UACGUAGGGGGCAAGCGUUGUCCGGAAUUAUUGGGCGUAAAGCGCGCGCAGGCGGUCCUUUAAGUCUGAUGUGAAAGCCCACGGCUCAACCGUGGAGGGUCAUUGGAAACUGGGGGACUUGAGUGCAGGAGAGGAACGCGGAAUUCCAGGUGUAGCGGUGAAAUGCGUAGAUAUCUGGAGGAACACCGGUGGCGAAGGCGGCGUUCUGGACUGCAACUGACACUGAGAAACGAAAGCCAGGGUAGCAAACGGG
RNAcentral lists this ribosomal RNA (253 nucleotides) under uncultured bacterium. RNAcentral's name for it is "partial 16S ribosomal RNA". It matches the Rfam family "Bacterial small subunit ribosomal RNA", at positions 524 to 776 of the family's 1533-position model. The record is from RNAcentral.